Long non-coding RNA from Phyllopteryx taeniolatus (common seadragon), 1470 nucleotides. RefSeq lists it as uncharacterized. NCBI's taxonomy places the organism in Eukaryota, Metazoa, Chordata, Actinopteri, Syngnathiformes, Syngnathidae. The record is from RefSeq and is a predicted model, not a curated record. The transcript has 4 exons.
CUCCAUGUCGCCCUCGGAGACGUCGCCGAACGUCUCCGUGUUGUCCUUAAGCAGCUGGAAGAUGGCGGCCAGCUGCUCCCGCUGCACCCUGGGAAAACAACGUAGACGAAGAGUGUCCUCAGUCUGGGUCAAAGGUUUUGAUUAUGCAUUAAUGCUCUGGCCACACACGCGCAUUAUGCUUAUCUUAAGCACUUGGGCAAUACUUCAAAGUAAGUGACUGCUGUACGAGGAGAGCCAAUCAACACUUGGGCAUGGACCCAUGACACCUGGAAGUGACACCUUUAAUUAUCAAACAGGUAGGAAAGGUGAUACAUUUCCAGGCAAAAUCCAGAGUGCACGUCCCUGUGUCAACGGCAGGUGUCUUUUGUCUCCGUCACGUCCUGGGGUCAAACGUCCUCUGAGCUGGCAAAGAGUCAAUCUGACCUUAAGUCAGUCUAGCCCGCAUCGCACAGCAGCUUAAGAGCGGAAAGCUGCGAGUGAGAAGGCGGCUAGCACAGAAGCAGAACGUCACAGCAUGUUUUUAACUGACCUCUGCUCCUCCUCAAGCUCCUCUUUGGACAUCAUCAUCUCCAUGUGGUGGGAGCGCGACUUUCCGGGGACGUACUUUAGCUCCGAUUUAUCUGCAGAAAAAGAGGACCAUCAUUCAAAGAAACAUCACAUGACCAAAACCCAGAACAGAGAAAGCACACUUUAGGAGCUCCUCAUCAGAGAGCCCGAUGAAGGAGCGCCGGCCGCGCCCCGACGACGCCUCAGACGACGAGUCAAAGCUUGUGUGCCUCGAGUCGAGGCGCGGCACGGACAGGCUGGACGCCGACGAGGAGGAGGAGCGCUCGGCCGGAGAUGCCGCAACCGUCGCGGACUCCGGCUCCUCGUUGGUGUGAUGGGGUUGCACCUCGUCCUGUGUGGGAGAAUGAGGAGGAGAGGAGGAGAGGGGGAGAGAGCGAGAGAGAGAGACAGAGAGAGGUCCCUCUGGGGAUGAUUGACAACUCACUGCGUCUCCACACAAUUGAAGAACAACAUUUUUGUUUGGUGAUAAUUGCUUUGGGGCUUUGUUUCUGGCAACCUAGUUUAUGGACAACAAACUGACUUACAUUUGAUUUCUAAUGUGCAGCAAACCUUUAUUUCUAUUGGUACCCGUGUUUCUGUACAGGAAAUGAACUUGCAGUUGAAAAGGUAUUUCUAAUGUCCAUGGAGCUUUAGUUUCUGUUGACACCCAUGUUCAUGUAUGACAAAUGGAACUCAAUUUCUAGUGUGCAUCGACCAUUUGAUUCUAUUUCUUACCUCGACUAAUGAAUUGAGUUGCAGUCAGAAAGUGAUUUCAACAUACAUUGAGCCUUUGUUUCUAUUGUCACCCACAUUUGUUAUGUGUGACAAAUUAACCAACAGUAAGAAAGCGAUUUCUAAUGUGCUUUUGUUUCUAUUGGCACCAAUGUUACUUUGUACAACAAAUAAACUUGCAGUAAAAAGUGA